Caenorhabditis briggsae is the source of this 46-nucleotide non-coding RNA. NCBI's taxonomy places the organism in Eukaryota, Metazoa, Nematoda, Chromadorea, Rhabditida, Rhabditidae. The record is from Rfam.
CCAACGGCCCUCUUUAGGGCCACAAAUAACACGAAUCCUAAAAUAU